Python bivittatus (Burmese python) is the source of this 3980-nucleotide non-coding RNA. Lineage: Eukaryota; Metazoa; Chordata; Lepidosauria; Squamata; Pythonidae. The record is from RefSeq and is a predicted model, not a curated record.
CUUUCUAAAGUUCUACAGUACCUUGAGAUUUAUUUUGGCCAUUGUUAUUUUCCACGGUACAGAGCUACGUUUUUAAAAGAUGUGGCAAGCUCACAGCAACUUGAUUGGAUGCUUUUAAGACUGAGAAUAAUUCCACCCUCAGGUUUCCAUGUCACAAUUAGAUUGAAAAAAAAAAAAAAUUAUGAGAGAGAACAAAAUGGCUUUAAAAUACCAUAAAAGAAAAAAAAAUCCCACAUUUUAUAGGGAAGUGAAGUCAUGGUUUUAUUGAGGAAUGUCUUGGUUUGAUGGGGCAUGUUUUUUUAAAUGUCACUUUUUUUCCUUUUCAUUAACCUAGUGAGAAGAACAAAGCAGAACAGGUGGUGUGGAUGUACUACAGUUCUGCAGGUAAAUAACUAGGAAAUAAGAUCUUUCCUUCAAAUGGAACUAAAAUCUCUAUUCUCUCCAAAAGGGGGGUUGCUAAAAACAAAGCAGAAUUUAAUGCUGCCACCAGAAGGAAGAAACCAAAACCAAAGAUCUUGUGGCAUUUGCUCCGAAAAAGACCUCCAGCGGCCUUGAAAAUAAUGUUCUUUUACCAGUCCCGGGAGUGCUUAAGACUGUCAAUCUUCAGGGAAGACAGAGGAUUAAAAUCCUGGUCACAGAAUUUCUGCUGACAGGUCCUGUAGAGACUUUUUAACGGGCUUGAGAAGGUUUUGUUGCUUUUUUUUUUUUGGGUAAUAAUUGCAUUAGUCAUUUAGAAAUAUAAAUAAUCUUGAAAACAUUGGCACAAAGAUGGUAAUAAAUAGAUGAAUCCAAUGGUCAACCAGCAGCCCAUCUUCUAAUACAGAGUGCAAGUAUGAGGCAUAGAUAAUCUCAACUGCCAAAAACUAAAAUACUGGAAUAUUUUAGAAAAGCCCUACAAAGGUCACUUUUGACGUUUUGAAUACAUUUAUAUGUAUCCCCACAGCAAUCUGCAACAAUAUAUAAAUAUAUUGGGAAAAAAUAGCAAAGAAGAGAGGCAGAUAUGUUCACAUUCAUAGUAUCUGAGCAUUCCAAACCCAAGCUUGGGGUUAUACAAACAAUAGGUUCUGAUUUUUUAAAAUUUACUUAUUUCUUCUUUGCAACUCAAAAGAAUCUGUAACCAAGAUUUGUCUUGUACCAAGGAAAACAACAGGAUUGCUCCAUGACCCAUUUUUUCUGGCCUUAUCAAACAAAAUCACAGUCACGCCACAUUUUAAGAGAGAUUCUACUUGACUAACAUCUGCAAACACUAGAUGGAAUAGCUUUUCCCUUGGGCUUUGGAAAAUCUUUCAUACGGUCUUGAUGUUUAAGAGAAGGGGGAAAAAAGAGGAGGCAAAAUAAUUGGAGUCUACAGUUCUCUAUUCUUCUGGAACAAAUCUGAAAAAGGAUAGUCAACAUGUCACUAACAUAUCACUUCCCUUAAUUAAUGAGAAUCAGCCCACAAAAUUUCCUUAAACAGCUCCACCCUUUCUUCUUCGUUGCCUUUGGUCCCUGUGGCUUCACUAACACUAUACUGCCAAGAUAUGGAAAAUGCUGGUACCCACUAUCCAUCUGGUGUCUUUUAAGAAUUAAAAAAUAACAAAGCCAAUGACCACACAAUCAUAGAUUUGGAAAAGGCUACUGAGGUCACUGAGUACAUUCCUGUGGUCGGUGCAGGAAUGUUAAAUAAAACAUCUCUCCAAGAUAGCUCCCCAGACUGUGCUUGACUACAUCCAGUGAAGGAGAACUCACCAUCUCCUUUGUAACUGCACUGAACUAGCCCUCCCAAUAGGAGAUAAUGACACCCAGAUCCUGCAGCCUAGGAUGACAAAGAAGAGGUCUAAACCUUCUUCCCUGUGACAGCUAUCAUACUAUCCCUCAUUCUUCUCUUCUCAAGGAUAGACAUUCCCAGUAUCUGCAAUGUUCUCAUGUGACUUAGUUUCUGUUAUAUGAGAAUCCUCACUAAUCGUCUUUGCCACUGUUUUCCAGAACCCCUUUUCAGUGUGGUGCCAAGAAUUAGAGUUUUUGAGGUGGAAGUCUAAUCAAUACAGAAUUUGACCAACUAUGUUCUAGCCAUGCAAAGCACGCUUUAAAAAUUUCAAAAGGUCUAGAUGAGGCUGGUACUAUUUCUGUGAAUACUGACUGCUGUAAUCACAUGUCAAAACUCAAUAUAGUUGAACAGGAAAUUGGGACCCCACAAUGAAGUAUGGUUCUUAACUCACCAUUCAAAACUCGAUACUUCUAAAAAAAAAUUUUUUUUUCUUGUUUUCUUUCCUAUAUUGCAGUAAGUGGAGAAGGAAGAUACAGGUUUUAAAUAUAUUCAUAGCCAAAAAUCUGAAAGCUAUGAUGUGUACGUUGUUGGCUGAUUAUAAUAAUAGGCAACAACAGUUAGGGCUAUCAGGCAAGCACUUACAGGGGAAUUUAGUUCCUUUCCCAAAUCAAAAGUUAUCUUAAAGAAGAAAUUAUCAAGAUCAAAAUAGCAUAUACAUAUUUCAAAGAAGAGAAUUCAGAACACAUGCUAGAUGUCUUACACAACAAACUCAUUUUUUUAAAAAAGGUUUUGAAACAUGCAGGUUUCAAAUUGCUCUGAUCAAAUGUCAGAACCAGAAUUUCUGCCCCCUUAGAAUUAUCAUGUAAUGCAAGUUGAGGAACAGGGGUAUUAUGCAAUUAUUCUUUAGCUCCUGCUGUAUCUUAAAAGCAUUAGGUAGGAUAUAUUGAAAUCUAGUUUUAUGUUGGGUGAUUUUCAUGGAUACAAAAUGAACCACCAUUCUGGUUGCUUAGAUUGUAAUGAAAGAUGGCUGUUUCUCUGUGUUUCUCUCAGGCCGGGGAGCUGCAGUCAACUAUGGCUUCCCAGUGGUGUGUACAAGAAGUAAAAAAACACUGGUUUGCAGAUUGCUGAUGAUUCUCUACAUGGUAAAUCUUACAGUUCUUCUCAGGCAGCCCUCUCAGAGUGAUGGAUUUUAAGUGCAACAAAAAUACAUGGAUUGGAGUCCCAUGAGGCUAAUCUACUAGAAACCAAAAGUCUUUGAGGACCACAUCAAAAUGAAUAAGAACUUUAUCAAACCUUGCCCGGACAGAGAAUUUCCUCCUCACGUUAAUAAGCUGGAAGAAGGUGUCAUUAAGGAUUUUCCUACCCCUUGUAUCAGAAAAUAGCAGGCCACUCUUUUGGAGAUCUGUGAAAAAGACUGGACAUUUUCUUGGCCUUAUUAGUGCGCCAGGCACAAUGGUGAUCCCUGAAGUUCUAAGGCCUUCCUGCCAACAGAUCCUGUACUCUUUAAAGGAAUAUACCAGCAGCUGCUGGGUUCAUGUAUCCUAAGAAUGAUGGGCUAUUUCUGGAAUGAUUAUUUCUGCCCUGGUUAAUUUUGAUCUAACGUUGACAACGGUGCCUCCUCUUUCCUGGGAGGUUCCACUCGGCUCAGAAGGAAUCAUCCAACCAGACUAAAAAUGCUUUUGCAGAGUCACCCCAAAACAUUGGCACUAUAUACAUUUUCCCAAACUUGAGCUGAGGUUGGGAGAGGAGAGUGUGUGCGUAACGAAAAACGGAGCAAACCUGCACACAAAGAGCACCACUGAGGGAGGCCGCUGUCAGUUCUUAGUUUCUAAACAAGGCCUCCAGCCUGCUUAAGUUAGACCUCCUGGCCUAGAUUGCAGAGAGGGUGCGCGGGUGGGUUAAUUGCAGUUAUUCAGUGGCCGUGAAAGACUGUACAUGGUCAAAGGCAUUUAGUGGCACAGAGAACAAGACAUGUGCUGCGUCUCAGAGAGCCCUGGGUCACAUUAAAUCCUGGCACCAGUCCAGCUUCUGCUCGGCCAGAGCAGCAGUUGUGGUUACUUUCCCUGAAGACAAGGGUGCAAAAAUACACUUAGUGAUGAAACCUUUCAUUGUAAAUAUCCCAAAAGGCCAUUGUUUGUUUCUUUCAGGUUUUUUAAUUAGGGGUUUUCUGUAAGGAGAAACAUAUUUUUAACCACAGCUGUGUCUAAAUGGAAACGCUUGCUUUUUUUUUUUU